RNAcentral lists this ribosomal RNA (468 nucleotides) under uncultured bacterium. RNAcentral describes it as "partial 16S ribosomal RNA". It matches the Rfam family "Bacterial small subunit ribosomal RNA", at positions 28 to 507 of the family's 1533-position model. The record is from RNAcentral.
GACGAACGCUGGCGGCGUGCUUAACACAUGCAAGUCGAACGGAAAGGCCCUGCUUUUGUGGGGUGCUCGAGGGGCGAACGGGUGAGUAACACGUGAGUAACCUGCUCUUGACUUUGGGAUAACUUCAGGUAACUGGGGCUACUAUCGGAUAGGAGCUCCUGCUGCAUGGUGGGGGGGGGAAAGUUUCGGCGGGUGGGGAUGGAUGCGCGGCUUACCAGCUUGUUGGUGGGGUAGGGGCUUACCAAGGCUUUGACGGGUAGCCGGCCUGAGAGGGUGACCGGCCACAAUGGGACUGAGAUACGGCGCAGACUGCUACGGGAGGCAGCAGGGGGAAAUAUUGCCCAAUGGGCGGAAGCCUGAUGCAGCAGCGCCGCGUGCGGGAUGACGGCCUUCGGGUUGUAAACCGCUUUCGCCUGUGACGCAGCGUGAGUGACGGUAAUGGAUAAAGAAGCACCGGCUAACUACGUG